GCAAUUAGAUGCAAUCAUUGCAGCUUCCGUGUCCCUCAAAUCUUCAUCAAAGCUGAAGAAGAUGUUAGAGAUCAUCUUGGCCUUUGGGAACUACAUGAACAGCAGUAAAAGAGGAGCAGCGUAUGGGUUCCGUCUGCAGAGCCUUGACCUGGUUUUUCAAAUGUUUCAGAUUACUCCCCCCACCGC
Molecule: long non-coding RNA, 186 nt
Organism: Sinocyclocheilus rhinocerous
Lineage: Eukaryota; Metazoa; Chordata; Actinopteri; Cypriniformes; Cyprinidae
Exons: 3
Source: RefSeq, a predicted model, not a curated record